Molecule: ribosomal RNA, 484 nt
Filed under: uncultured bacterium
Lineage: Bacteria
Description: partial 16S ribosomal RNA
Rfam family: Bacterial small subunit ribosomal RNA
Source: RNAcentral
AUUGAACGCUGGCGGCAGGCCUAACACAUGCAAGUCGAGCGGAUGAAGGGAGCUUGCUCCUGGAUUCAGCGGCGGACGGGUGAGUAAUGCCUAGGAAUCUGCCUGGUAGUGGGGGAUAACGUCCGGAAACGGGCGCUAAUACCGCAUACGUCCUGAGGGAGAAAGUGGGGGAUCUUCGGACCUCAGGCUAUCAGAUGAGCCUAGGUCGGAUUAGCUAGUUGGUGGGGUAAAGGCCUACCAAGGCGACGAUCCGUAACUGGUCUGAGAGGAUGAUCAGUCACACUGGAACUGAGACACGGUCCAGACUCCUACGGGAGGCAGCAGUGGGGAAUAUUGGACAAUGGGCGAAAGCCUGAUCCAGCCAUGCCGCGUGUGUGACGAAGGUCUUCGGAUUGUAAAGCACUUUAAGUUGGGAGGAAGGGCAGUAAGUUAAUACCUUGCUGUUUUGACGUUACCAACAGAAUAAGCACCGGCUAACUUCGUG